CGCACAUUGCACCCUCUGGUAUUCCGGGGGGUAUGCCUGUUCGAGCGUCAUAGCAACCCUCAAGCCCUGCUUGGUAUUGGAUGCAAUUACCAAAUUCAUCUCAAAAUUAGUGGUGGUGCCGUCUGGCUUCCAGCGUAGUAAUCAGCUCGCUGUGGGCGUCCAGGCUGUUGCUUCCAGCAAACAACACCCUAAGGUUGACCUCGGAUCAGGUAGGGAUACCCGCUGAACUUAA
Molecule: unclassified non-coding RNA, 232 nt
Filed under: Ascomycota sp.
Lineage: Eukaryota; Fungi; Ascomycota
Description: partial contains 5.8S ribosomal RNA, internal transcribed spacer 2, and large subunit ribosomal RNA
Source: RNAcentral